RNAcentral lists this ribosomal RNA (429 nucleotides) under Acidobacteriota bacterium. Its description in RNAcentral is "Acidobacteria bacterium partial 16S ribosomal RNA". It matches the Rfam family "Bacterial small subunit ribosomal RNA", at positions 355 to 776 of the family's 1533-position model. The record is from RNAcentral. Lineage: Bacteria; Pseudomonadati; Acidobacteriota.
UGGGGAAUUUUGGACAAUGGGGUAAACCCUGAUCCAGCCAUCCCGCGUGUGCGAUGAAGGCCUUCGGGUUGUAAAGCACUUUUGGCAGGAAAGAAACGUCAUGGGUUAAUACCCCGUGAAACUGACGGUACCUGCAGAAUAAGCACCGGCUAACUACGUGCCAGCAGCCGCGGUAAUACGUAGGGUGCAAGCGUUAAUCGGAAUUACUGGGCGUAAAGCGUGCGCAGGCGGUUCGGAAAGAAAGAUGUGAAAUCCCAGAGCUCAACUUUGGAACUGCAUUUUUAACUACCGGGCUAGAGUGUGUCAGAGGGAGGUGGAAUUCCGCGUGUAGCAGUGAAAUGCGUAGAUAUGCGGAGGAACACCGAUGGCGAAGGCAGCCUCCUGGGAUAACACUGACGCUCAUGCACGAAAGCGUGGGGAGCAAACAGG